UCCAGGUUACAUGAUUAGACAUCACAAGC
Molecule: non-coding RNA, 29 nt
Filed under: Rattus norvegicus (Norway rat)
Lineage: Eukaryota; Metazoa; Chordata; Mammalia; Rodentia; Muridae
Source: RNAcentral